AGCGGCCGGACGGAUCUUGGUUGCAAGAGGGAGAAAGAGAGGCCGGGUGCCUGGGAGGGCGCGGAGCUGCUGGAGCGCGGUCUGGACCGCGACCGCGACCGCGGCGGUGGCGGUGGGGAGCUAGGGUCACCUUGUGAAGCGAGCGCUCCUCUGUGCCGCACCGCCUCUGGGAGGAAGCCCCAUUGCCCUCUUCUUUCUAAGCUGUCAUCCUCCUGCUGCAAUCGUCAUUACAGUACCGCUGGUGACGCCACUCGGCGAGCGCAAGUGGAUAAAUAGAAACGUCUGCCACAGCGAAGAUGAAAGGAAACCCGCAGCUAAUGGCUCGGCAGUGAUGCGCCAGGUGUGGGCCUCGCUCGAUUGGGGAGGAGAGUGUGAAAACAGACAGAGAGACACACACACUGAGAGAGGGAGACACCCAGGCAGAGGGGAUGCAAAUGGAAUGCCGCAGAAAGAAAAGAGAGCUUAACGCGCGCGGCGAGUUCCGCAGGGGCAGCGGGACUAGAUGGCCUUAAGUUUUCCACAGCCUGGCUUCAUCUUGAGAUGGCUAUUCGUACAAGAAGUCGCUUUCCCGUUUGCCUGGACC
Molecule: non-coding RNA, 583 nt
Filed under: Pan troglodytes (chimpanzee)
Lineage: Eukaryota; Metazoa; Chordata; Mammalia; Primates; Hominidae
Source: RNAcentral